This 460-nucleotide ribosomal RNA is filed under the name uncultured bacterium. Its description in RNAcentral is "partial 16S ribosomal RNA". It matches the Rfam family "Bacterial small subunit ribosomal RNA", at positions 338 to 795 of the family's 1533-position model. The record is from RNAcentral.
CCUACGGGAGGCUGCAGUGAGGAAUAUUGGUCAAUGGGCGGAAGCCUGAACCAGCCAAGUAGCGUGCAGGAUGACGGCCCUACGGGUUGUAAACUGCUUUUAUACGGGAAUAACGCGCCUUACGUGUAGGGUUUUGCAUGUCCCGGAUGAAUAAGGAACGGCUAAUUCCGUGCCAGCAGCCGCGGUAAUACGGAAGGUCCGGGCGUUAUCCGGAUUUAUUGGGUUUAAAGGGAGCGUAGGCCGCAUGUCAAGCGUGCGUUGAAAUGCGCGGGCUCAACCCGGGCCUUGCGGCGCGAACUGGCGUGCUUGAGUCCGCGGAAAGCAGGCGGAAUGCGUCGUGUAGCGGUGAAAUGCUUAGAUAUGACGAAGAACCCCGAUUGCGAAGGCAGCUUGCUGCAGCGGAACUGACGCUGAUGCUCGAAAGCGCGGGUAUCGAACAGGAUUAGAUACCCGAGUAGUC